RNAcentral lists this ribosomal RNA (357 nucleotides) under uncultured bacterium. RNAcentral's name for it is "bacterial SSU rRNA". It matches the Rfam family "Bacterial small subunit ribosomal RNA", at positions 8 to 351 of the family's 1533-position model. The record is from RNAcentral.
AGAGUUUGAUCCUGGCUCAGGAUGAACGCUAGCUACAGGCUUAACACAUGCAAGUCGAGGGGAAACGACAUCGAAAGCUUGCUUUUGAUGGGCGUCGACCGGCGCACGGGUGAGUAACGCGUAUCCAACCUGCCCACCACUUGGGGAUAACCUUGCGAAAGUAAGACUAAUACCCAAUGACGUCUCUAGAAGACAUCUGAAAGAGAUUAAAGAUUUAUCGGUGAUGGAUGGGGAUGCGUCUGAUUAGCUUGUUGGCGGGGUAACGGCCACCAAGGCGACGAUCAGUAGGGGUUCUGAGAGGAAGGUCCCCCACAUUGGAACUGAGGAACACGGUCCAAACUCCGUAACGGGAGGCAA